Solanum dulcamara is the source of this 3299-nucleotide long non-coding RNA. RefSeq lists it as uncharacterized. The transcript is spliced from 2 exons. Lineage: Eukaryota; Viridiplantae; Streptophyta; Magnoliopsida; Solanales; Solanaceae. The record is from RefSeq and is a predicted model, not a curated record.
GGCGUAAUUAUCCCUUUGCUUUGUAUAAACGCCCACAUAUAUGUUUUGGGCUUUGUUUAGUUGAGCCUUGUUGUAACGUUCACGGCUUUUGAUGGGUUUGUUUAUGUGGGCUGCUAUUCGAUUUGCUUGCGGUUAAACCCUCAAUUCGGAGAGGAACAUCUGUUCGCCACUUGUCACAAAAUAAUUGGUCAAAAUAUACAUCCAGAUUGUUCCGAAUUGUCUCAACCGCCAUACGAAACAUUGUAUACUUUUGUCUUAAGUCGGUUACAUUUUUCUCCUAGGAUUCUAUCCGCCGCAUAGAAGUCGGUUGACAAUCUUUAUAUAUAGCCUUCAAUUAGAUGGUCUCUCCAAUCAUUCUACCCUUCUUUCAUGGUACAUGAAUUUCUUUGUCGAUUACUAGGGAUUUUCGCACAGCGUAAUUUUUUGGAUGAAGCAAUUUGAAUGCUCUGCCCCUGGGAGAAAGGAGUCCAUAUUUCUCAUUUCUCCGUCUCUGCAGAAAAGCUUGGCUCAGAUGGUUAAGGUGCAGAUAGAGUUAAAUUCUUUGCGUUGUUGGCUGGAUUUCCCUUAUCGUAAUCAGAAGCGUGAAGAGCAAUAUUCAUAGGAUUUUUUUGUUGUAUAGGGAUAUAAUCGGGACAUAAAUAGGCCUAAUAUCAGGGGGUCAUGUCCCGUUUAAAUUACUCUGUUACUGCUCUGGCCUUUGCCAUGUCGGGUGCGCUUGCUUGGCAGGUCCAUAUCUUUAAUAAAAAAUCGAUUUUUCGGGUUUUGAGGGGGGAGAUAGCACGGGAUUAUUAUCUUUUUUGGCCCGGGAUCUCUCCCCUCUCGUUUUGUGUGUGUUUUAUGCUUUUCUAAUUCCUGUUUGCACGUCACGCUCUGCUUAGAUGUGCCCAAAUCGAUCGUCAGAUCAGUAUUCUUUCAACGAGCUACCCUUAAUUGGGCGUUCACAUCAGGUACAGGGUGGUUAGCAUCUUUUCUGCUUAACUUUUGCAAUUAAUUAUAAUGCGCGCAAGAGAGAAAACAAAAUCGAGAUAACUAGUUUAUUGAUAUCGUAGCAGAAUUAUUCUAAAUAAGUAAAUUUGGGUUAACACAUGUUGAUAGUUUGUGCAGUUAGCGCCAUAGAAGAAGACGAAUGUGGAUCUUUCAAGUUUUUUAACAUGCAUUUGGUAACAACUCCAAAUCUAAUAAACCAAGUAGUAUCUGUUUCUGUAAAACGUGCUUGGGAUAAAAUCCACGUGAACUCCAUCUAAUCAGUGGAGCAACCUAGCGGACCUCAGGUAUGCAUUAUAGGCUCGUAAUUAUGCUUUGAUUGGAUUCAGAAUAAUAGACCAUCUCAGGUAUACUUCAUAGGCUAGUAAUUAUGCUGGACUUUGGUUCGUAAUGAAUAAUUUGCAAAAAUUCUGAACCAUUUUGUGGCCUUGGACGAUGUUUUCAACUCUAAUACUUCUGAAUUUGACAAAAAUAAAUUAUGGUUUACAUAUGACUUAUCCAAAUUAUUGUAUCAGAUGUAUCAGAUCUGUCAUAUUUAAGUUCGCCUUUGUCAGAUGUCGAUUAUUAGUCUCUGUAUUAAGAGUGAUAUGUUGCUCUUCAGUAGAUUCUAGUGAUUUUGUAAUGAAAAAUUUCAAAUUUUUACUUCAAGGAAACGGUUUAAAGUUGUUUACCAACGAAAAUCACUUUGCAAAUCUGGUACCAACGAAAAUCACUUGGUGGUAGUAUAAUAUUUUGAGGGGGCAAAUCAGAAGGAUGUGAAGAACAAAUUAGUUAAUUCUUCGGCCUAUCUUGUGGACCCAAUUCGUGCAUUUAUGAUGGUGGACGUGAAGAACCUACUCAUCCAAGGAUACAGGGAUUAUGUAAUCAAAAUUAAAUUAGUCUUUGAUCGAGGGGUAUUCUGCCAUGUUAUUGCAGGAUGUAUGACGCUCUGGUUAUUCCUUAUGGUUGUGAACAUAUUCUUUCUGUAGGCCUUGAUUGUUGAAAGGCCAAGGCCGACCAGUUUUAUUUGGUGCCCAUUGGUGACAAAAAGAUUGUAGAUCCAUUGUUAUGUAGACUUGAUAGGAAGUACAAGAUGGUAGGUCUCCUUUUUGUGUAGCAAAUAUGUGAAAGAAGCAGUGAACGGCCGUCAGGUCAAGGUUAUUCAAGCUUUGCUUAAAAGUUGGUACACAAAUUGUUCAUGCGAUUGAUUUUUGGUACAUGAUGGAUGUGUUUAGAAGCUCAGAAUGACCUUUUGUACACUUUUUGGGCAUAUGCUUUUGCGCCUGUUACCAUUGAUCUGGGUUUCUCCUCUUCUUUGCUGGUUAAAUUUGUAUGAUACGAAGUGAUCUCUUCAGGUGUAAUGCUUUUGCGUCUGUUACUGUUGGUCUAGUUUUCUCCUCUUCUUUGGUCAAAUUUUUGAACAUCCCGUUGUGAGACAUUAGUGUGUUUCUAUGAUACAAAGUUAUCUGCAUUUUCAAGUGAAUGUUCUGUGUAUGCCCUUUUUAGCCAAUAUGACAUGUUGGAUCAGAGAAUCAAGGCAAAAUCUUAAGAAUUAUCAGAGAAAUCCCAACUUAAGGAGUCUGUGAUAGAGAUAAAGUGAGGGUAUAUAUUCUGGAAAGAUCAAAAUGACGGUGGCUUCAAACAAAACAAAAUUCAUUUAACUAUGUUAAGUGAAUUUAUGAAGACAAGAUUUCAGGAUUUUCGAGCAAGGCAGUUUGGUUAUCAUAGAAAAUGUUCCAGUAGCUGAGACGGACAGCUCCAAGUCACUAACACCAACCACCUUAAAGGUAAUGAGUACACACUUUCAAUAAGGCCUGCCAUGUAAUGGAGUAGCCGAAAUGGUCCAUUCAACAGAUAAUUAUCAACCAACAUAUAAGGUAACCUUUAUAGAAGAUUGUGGACAGGAAAUGCAGUCGAUCUGGCCAAAAGAAAUAAAGAAACAGAUCAUUGAUCUCAUCCAUGAAAGAUUCAAGGCCUCAUUUCAGCAGUAUUACCACAAACUAUAAGUGUCUGUCCAACAAUGUCUCACAAGAUUGUGCAAAGAUUGUAGAGAGGAGAAAGAUCGUUGGCCAUUCAGUGAGUGGAUGAGGCGUUUAUUCGGGACCUUGUUGUUUUUUUAGAAAUUUUGAGAAACGAGAGGUUAUCAACAAUAGCCUUAAGAAAAGUUGGAGGAGUACGGGUAAUCAUGUAUCAUUAAAAUAAAGGCGUUACUUGCCAAUUGUAAAUUUAAAAUCUCAAAUAAGUUAAGCUUUGUGUGUUUUCUGUAGAGUAUUAAAAUUUCAUUUGUAAGUUUGGCACAUGAUAUACUAAUAAGAAUUCGUCUUGAUUGACAGCGU